AGGACAAACGCUGGCGGGGUGCGUGAGACAUGCAAGUCGAACGAGGUGCCAUCGGGCUUGCUCGAUGGCUACCGAGUGGCGGACGGCUGAGUAACGCGUAGGUGACCUACCCGGAAGUGGGGAAUAACUGCCCGAAAGGGUGGCUAAUACCGCAUACGGUCGACGAUUCGGUUCGUCGUCCAAAGGAGUAAUCCGCUUCCGGCGGGGCCUGCGUCCGAUUAGCUAGUUGGUGGGGUAACGGCUCACCAAGGCGACGAUCGGUAGCUGGUCUGAGAGGAUGAUCAGCCAGACUGGGACUGAGAACGGCCCUGACUCCUACGGGAGGCAGCAGUCGGGAAUUUGCCAAUGGACGAAAGUCUGAGGCAGCAACUCCGCGUGAGGGACGAAGGCUCUCGGGUCGUAAACCUCUUUUCUCAGGAAGAUCCAAGACGGUACCUGAGGAAUAAGCCAGCUAACUACGUGCCAGCAGCCGC
This 473-nucleotide ribosomal RNA is filed under the name uncultured soil bacterium. RNAcentral describes it as "bacterial SSU rRNA". It matches the Rfam family "Bacterial small subunit ribosomal RNA", at positions 26 to 518 of the family's 1533-position model. The record is from RNAcentral.